AAAAAACAAUAUAUAAUUUGUAUGGGAACAGUAAAUGAGAAAGCGGAAAAUUACAGCCAAACACAAACACCACAAAAGUGUAAAAAUAUUCCUGGUCGCAAAUGUACAACAUCGCAAAAACAGUCCAGUCCUUAAGGGGUUAAUGGUAGGUGUAUUUUAACAGUGAGACACAGAAUAACAAAAUAUAUAUAUUGUUGCAAUUGCCUCCGGUCUAGCAGGAGGUUGGAUCGCUUGGAUGUCCUGGUUCCCGAAGUCAGAGAGUCGAACAAGAUUCCAUUCAGUAGAAACCUGUAAGUGUUGAAUAUCCCACUAGCUGUAGUAGCGCUAGUAUUCCCGGAUACCUACAACACGAGUCAAGGCUACGAGUUGAGGGUAAAACGAACUGGCUUUAAUGGCACACAAGCAUGGCAAUUUAUGCAAGUCCCCAGGUCCAGGGACAGCCCCCCAUGGACCUGAUGGGAUACAGGUACAGUACAAGUAUUUGACCAAUCACAGUACAAUGUAUUAUUCAAACUAGUACCCACCCAGCUUGGAGAUAAUGAGGCUAACGGUUAUACAAUCUAAUUAUCUCCAAGCGCUCAAAACGACCAUGCUUUAUUACGUUCCAGAAAACCGUAUAAAAAUAUAUAACUUAGUCAUUAUAGAGUGAAUAUAGUCCUUUCCACGUGUCAUUCGGUAGCUCAGCUCUGGAUGCAUUAAGUGUGCGAAUUGCGCCCAGAUCCCGCGAACCGAGCAGGAGGUUUCUGCUAUAUAAAGUCCUGUUCGGCAGCUGGAUUCUAAGCCCUCAAUGGCGGCCAUGUUUUUGGGUCUGUCAAUGGCCAGCGGGACCUCGAUGCAGGUAAAAUAGGGUUUCAAUAAGCAGAAGUAGAGAAUAACAAUGUAACGGGUCUUUGUAACAAUGCUCCCUCUUUGUGGAACACUCUGGCAGACACUGUCUGACCCCUUUUCGGGGUAGACUAAGGCUGUCCAGACUGGAGAGUUAUGCUGGACUGAGGUCAGUUUGCCGUGAUAACCCGUCGGCAUUGCCAUUCUGUUUCCCGGGUCGGUAGGUGAUGAUAAAAUUAAACGGUUGUAGUGAUAAGCUCCAGUGUAAUAGUCGGCCAUUAUUCCCAGCGACCCGGUUGAGCCAUACCAACGGGUUAUGGUCUGUAACCAGAGUAAACUCUUGUCCAUACAAGUAGGGAGUUAACUUCUUUAGUGCCCCCACCAACGCCAAACACUCCUUUUCCACCGCGGCAUAGCGGACUUCUCGUGGCAGGAGCUUUCGGCUGAUGUAGACAAUCGGGUGUUCUUUCCCAUCGUCUCCUACUUGGCUGAGGACAGCUCCCAACCCGAACAUGGAAGCGUCUGUAUGAACAAUAAAACGUUGAUUAGGGGCUGGGGCAGCCAAGACAGGAGCAUUACUUAAAGCAGUAUUUAGUGUUUGAAACGCGGUUUCACAGUGGGGAGACCACAGGACCUGUCGAUGAAGAUUUUUCUUCGUUAAGUCAGUCAGGGGUUUGGCGAUAGCGCUAUAGUCUGGCACGAGCUUUCUGUAGUACCCAGCCAUGCCCAGAAAGGGGUCUUAGUGGUGGGGGUGGGCCAAUGUGUGAUCGCCUCUAACUUAUCUGGCUCUGGUCGCUGUUUCCCACAUCCCACUCGGUGACCCAAGUACUGUACCUCACCCAUCCCAAAAUGGCAUUUCUCUGGCUUCAGAAUCAGGCCCGCAGCCCGAAUCUGAUCCAGGACCAUUCCCACUUGGGCUAAGUGCUCCUCCCUGGACUCACUAUGGAUCGCUAUGUCAUCCAGGUAUGCACAAGCAAAAUCCUGGAAGCCAUCAAGGAGUCUAUCCACCAAGCGCUGGAAUGUGGCGGGGGCAUUCUUCAUCCCGAAUAGCAUAACCUUAAAGUGGUAUAAGCCAAACGGGGUGACGAAUGCCGACUUGGGGAUAGCUUCCCUGGCCAGGGGAAUUUGCCAAUAACCUUUACAGAGGUCAAUGGUAGUUAGU
Non-coding RNA from Pelobates cultripes (western spadefoot toad), 1987 nucleotides. The record is from the annotation of a GenBank genome assembly. NCBI's taxonomy places the organism in Eukaryota, Metazoa, Chordata, Amphibia, Anura, Pelobatidae.